Octopus sinensis (East Asian common octopus) is the source of this 144-nucleotide long non-coding RNA. RefSeq lists it as uncharacterized. NCBI's taxonomy places the organism in Eukaryota, Metazoa, Mollusca, Cephalopoda, Octopoda, Octopodidae. The transcript has 3 exons. The record is from RefSeq and is a predicted model, not a curated record.
UGUUUAUAUAUUGUACAUAUAUGUGCAUUAAGGUUAUCAUUGGUUUCAUCUUAAGAAAAAUAUCUUAAUAUCUUAACAAUUUUUCAAACCGAUCAUAUGGAGAAAUGAUAUUCGUCUCCAUUUUGGAUGAAAUCACAAAAUGUC